RNAcentral lists this small RNA (33 nucleotides) under Escherichia coli. RNAcentral describes it as "RNA69_SPACER4". Lineage: Bacteria; Pseudomonadati; Pseudomonadota; Gammaproteobacteria; Enterobacterales; Enterobacteriaceae. The record is from RNAcentral.
GUCUGGAAUUUUUGAGCGGUCGCGAGUUCCCCG